RNAcentral lists this long non-coding RNA (770 nucleotides) under Bos indicus x Bos taurus (hybrid cattle). RNAcentral's name for it is "lncRNA (ENSBIXG00000028752.1)". The record is from RNAcentral. Lineage: Eukaryota; Metazoa; Chordata; Mammalia; Artiodactyla; Bovidae.
GUUUAUCACUGGCUCUGUCCUUCCUGCAUGGCAGGCUGUUGGGCAUUCCAAUAGCCAGGCUAGUCAAGAGUGAUGCCUUUCAUUUUUAUUUAUAUGUUGGUUCCUUUUUAAUUCUUUCAGAAUUGUCCAAAUCCAUCUGAGGCCCUGUGUCUGUAUAAACUGAUUUCCAUGGCUGCUCCUCCAUGUAAGACUUUGCCAUUCUCUGCCUCCAAAAGGACUUGGAUCUAGGAUGACCAUAGCAUCAGGCAUCUUUUGACUAUGGAGAUAAUCAGCCAGUGCCUCUGACCAAGCCAUGUUUUAAUCCAAGAGUAACUACCCUUGGAGAAUAUCGCCUGUUUCCGGGAGUAAGAAGAAAAUGGUCUGCACCAUGGCAACAUGUAUUACUACUGGCUGCCCAGUGGAGCAAAAGGAACUCUGUUCGGGGCUAGAUUUCACGUCAGACAGAAAGGUUAUCGUGGAGACACAAAAAAACAUAUGUUCUUGGGCGUAUAGGUUUGAACCAUAUUUAAAUCAUAUGAGAUGAUAACAUUGAGUAGAACUGGUUGAGUAUCACACAUAAACAUUCAAAGUGGAUUAAUUUUAUUUUGCAUUACGUUCCAUUUGGAUUCUCUUAAACAAAAAGCCAUCAUUUUUUCUACAACCACCAAUUUUAUAGCAGAUGUUAUACAUUCUUUGAAAGCAAAGACUGUGACAUUUAUCUUUGUAUUUCUUUCAGCACCUAUGUAAAGAUUUCUAAUAAAUGCUUGAUGGAUAUAUUAAUGGUUUCUUUA